ACUCCUCGGGGGAUGGGGGAGGAAGAGGGAAACAAAAGUGGAAAAACAUUUUAAAAUAUGAAUUUUAUUUUCCAUAGCAGUAUAUCAGAAAACUCAAAUAUAACUCCACAACUUUUUCAAGAGUUUCUUUUUGUUUUCCAAUGGUAACGGGAGAGAAAAUAAGCUGUCAUUAUCGGAAUGAUCAAACACAGAGAGAAAAGAGGCAGAGGUGAGAAGAUGGAGAAGAUGAAUACAUUUGCUUUCAGCAAACCAAU
This 254-nucleotide long non-coding RNA is filed under the name Homo sapiens (human). Its description in RNAcentral is "HSALNT0153635". Lineage: Eukaryota; Metazoa; Chordata; Mammalia; Primates; Hominidae. The record is from RNAcentral.